RNAcentral lists this ribosomal RNA (339 nucleotides) under Drosophila hydei. Its description in RNAcentral is "28S ribosomal RNA, D2 domain". Lineage: Eukaryota; Metazoa; Arthropoda; Insecta; Diptera; Drosophilidae. The record is from RNAcentral.
CCCGAAGUAUCCUGAAUCUUUCGCAUUGUUAAUCAUACAAGUGCAUAUAAUAAACAUAAAAAUCAAUGAUAAUCAUGCCAUUAUAUAAUUCCGAAAAAUUAACGCACUGUAAUCUUAUAAAUCUAUCAGCACUUUAUCAAUAUUACAACUUUUAUUUCAUGUUAAAAUGCAAGCACUUUAAUUGAAACAAACAAAAUGACAUAAAUGUAUGAUAAAUUAAUAUGCUAAUAGAUUACAAUGUCCUUAUAUGGAAAAAAUGCACACUAUUAUUAUAAUAUUUUUUAAACAUUACAAUUCUAAUGAUGAAUUUUCCAUAACGGAUAUUCAGGUUCAUCGGGC